UGGGGAAUUUUGGACAAUGGGCGAAAGCCUGAUCCAGCAAUGCCGCGUGUGUGAAGAAGGCCUUCGGGUUGUAAAGCACUUUUGUCCGGAAAGAAAUCCUUGGCUCUAAUACAGUCGGGGGAUGACGGUACCGGAAGAAUAAGCACCGGCUAACUACGUGCCAGCAGCCGCGGUAAUACGUAGGGUGCAAGCGUUAAUCGGAAUUACUGGGCGUAAAGCGUGCGCAGGCGGUUUGCUAAGACCGAUGUGAAAUCCCCGGGCUCAACCUGGGAACUGCAUUGGUGACUGGCAGGCUAGAGUAUGGCAGAGGGGGGUAGAAUUCCACGUGUAGCAGUGAAAUGCGUAGAGAUGUGGAGGAAUACCGAUGGCGAAGGCAGCCCCCUGGGGCCAAUACUGACGCUCAUGCACGAAAGCGUGGGGGAGCAAACAGGAUUAGAUACCCUGGGUAGUCCACGCCCUAAACGAUGUCAACUAGUUGUUGGGGAUUCAUUUCCUUAGUAACGUAGCUAACGCGUGAAGUUGACCGCCUGGGGAGUA
RNAcentral lists this ribosomal RNA (537 nucleotides) under uncultured bacterium. Its description in RNAcentral is "partial 16S ribosomal RNA". It matches the Rfam family "Bacterial small subunit ribosomal RNA", at positions 355 to 882 of the family's 1533-position model. The record is from RNAcentral.